RNAcentral lists this ribosomal RNA (232 nucleotides) under uncultured bacterium. RNAcentral's name for it is "partial 16S ribosomal RNA". It matches the Rfam family "Bacterial small subunit ribosomal RNA", at positions 118 to 348 of the family's 1533-position model. The record is from RNAcentral.
UGAGCAACCUGCCCUUGACACUGGAAUAACAGUUGGAAACAGCUGCUAAUACCGGAUACGACCUCCGAUGGCAUCAUCUGGAGGUGGAAAGCUCCGACGGUCAAGGAUGGGCUCGCGGCCUAUCAGCUUGUUGGUGAGGUAACGGCUCACCAAGGCUUCGACGGGUAGCCGGCCUGAGAGGGCGACCGGCCACACGUGGGACUGAGAUACCGGCCCAGACCUCCCGUAGGGA